RNAcentral lists this ribosomal RNA (387 nucleotides) under uncultured bacterium. Its description in RNAcentral is "bacterial SSU rRNA". It matches the Rfam family "Bacterial small subunit ribosomal RNA", at positions 29 to 417 of the family's 1533-position model. The record is from RNAcentral.
AUUGAACGCUGGCGGCAUGCCUUACACAUGCAAGUCGAACGGUAACGCGGGGGCAACCCUGGCGACGAGUGGCGAACGGGUGAGUAAUACAUCGGAACGUACCCAGUAGUGGGGGAUAGCUCGGCGAAAGCCGGAUUAAUACCGCAUACGACCCAUGGGUGAAAGCGGGGGAUCGCAAGACCUCGCGCUAUUGGAGCGGCCGAUGUCGGAUUAGCUAGUUGGUGAGGUAAAGGCNCACCAAGGCUACGAUCCGUAGCUGGUCUGAGAGGACGACCAGCCACACUGGGACUGAGACACGGCCCAGACUCCUACGGGAGGCAGCAGUGGGGAAUUUUGGACAAUGGGCGCAAGCCUGAUCCAGCCAUGCCGCGUGUGUGAAGAAGGCCU